CCUGGCCUUCACAGGACAGUAGUUAAAGUGCCUCUACUUGAAACCUAGUUUUUGUGUUGCUAGGGUUCUUUCUCAAAGCUACCGGGGUUGCGUCUCUGCUUCUGUCGCCAUGAGGGCCAAGUGGAAAAAGAAGAGAAUGAGGAGGUUGAAGAGGAAGCGCCGAAAGAUGAGACAAAGAUCCAAGUAGAAUGGUUCGAUAAAUUCCAAAGAACAAAAUUGGAGUAGUUUGUUUCCGUAUGGUUAAGAGUCUUUAGAGUAUGAACUUUAGUUCGCAAUUCUCUCCUGUUUUGAUGAUACAUUUUGAAUUUUCAGUUUUAUGCACUUGGGAGUCUAUCUUUAGCUUAAUUACGUCUCUGAAGGUUUUUGGCAAGUAUAUUAAACAUUUUUAUGCAUUUGCUAUUGAUUUUAACCAUUUGAGAUUAUAGGCAG
Ipomoea triloba (trilobed morning glory) is the source of this 429-nucleotide long non-coding RNA. RefSeq lists it as uncharacterized. The record is from RefSeq and is a predicted model, not a curated record. Lineage: Eukaryota; Viridiplantae; Streptophyta; Magnoliopsida; Solanales; Convolvulaceae. The transcript has 2 exons.